AAGUGGUACGCGAGCUGGGUUUAGAACGUCGUGAGACAGUUCGGUCCCUAUCUGCCGUGGGCGCUGGAGAAUUGAGGGGGCUGCUCCUAGUACGAGAGGACCGGAGUGGACGCAUCACUGGUGUUCGGGUUGUCAUGCCAAUGGCAUGCCCGGUAGCUAAAUGCGGAAGAGAUAAGUGCUGAAAGCAUCUAAGCACGAAACUUGCCCCGAGAUGAGUUCUCCCUGAGACU
Molecule: ribosomal RNA, 230 nt
Filed under: Klebsiella pneumoniae
Lineage: Bacteria; Pseudomonadati; Pseudomonadota; Gammaproteobacteria; Enterobacterales; Enterobacteriaceae
Description: partial 23S ribosomal RNA
Rfam family: Bacterial large subunit ribosomal RNA
Source: RNAcentral